RNAcentral lists this ribosomal RNA (551 nucleotides) under uncultured bacterium. RNAcentral's name for it is "partial 16S ribosomal RNA". It matches the Rfam family "Bacterial small subunit ribosomal RNA", at positions 355 to 895 of the family's 1533-position model. The record is from RNAcentral.
UGGGGAAUAUUGCACAAUGGGCGCAAGCCUGAUGCAGCCAUGCCGCGUGUGUGAAGAAGGCCUUCGGGUUGUAAAGCACUUUCAGCGAGGAGGAAGGUGGUGAGCUUAAUACGCUCAUCAAUUGACGUUACUCGCAGAAGAAGCACCGGCUAACUCCGUGCCAGCAGCCGCGGUAAUACGGAGGGUGCAAGCGUUAAUCGGAAUUACUGGGCGUAAAGCGCACGCAGGCGGUUUGUUAAGUCAGAUGUGAAAUCUCCGGGCUCAACCUGGGAACUGCAUUUGAAACUGGCAAGCUAGAGUCUCGUAGAGGGGGGUAGAAUUCCAGGUGUAGCGGUGAAAUGCGUAGAGAUCUGGAGGAAUACCGGUGGCGAAGGCGGCCCCCUGGACGAAGACUGACGCUCAGGUGCGAAAGCGUGGGGAGCAAAACAGGAUUAGAUACCCUGGUAGUCCACGCUGUAAACCGAUGUCGAUUUGGAGGUUGUGCCCCUUGAGGCGUGGCUUCCGGAGCUAACGCGUUAAAUCGACCGCCUGGGGAGUACGGCCGCAAGGUU